RNAcentral lists this ribosomal RNA (408 nucleotides) under uncultured rumen bacterium. RNAcentral describes it as "bacterial SSU rRNA". It matches the Rfam family "Bacterial small subunit ribosomal RNA", at positions 354 to 776 of the family's 1533-position model. The record is from RNAcentral.
GUGGGGAAUAUUGCACAAUGGGGGAAACCCUGAUGCAGCAACGCCGCGUGAAGGAAGAAGGUUUUCGGAUCGUAAACUUCUAUCAACAGGGACGAAGAAAGUGACGGUACCUGAAUAAGAAGCCCCGGCUAACUACGUGCCAGCAGCCGCGGUAAAACGUAGGGGGCAAGCGUUAUCCGGAAUUACUGGGUGUAAAGGGUGAGUAGGCGGCAUGGUAAGCCAGAUGUGAAAGCCCGCAGCUUAACUGCGGGACUGCAUUUGGAACUACUAAGCUAGAGUACAGGAGAGGUAAGCGGAAUUCCUAGUGUAGCGGUGAAAUGCGUAGAUAUUAGGAAGAACACCGGUGGCGAAGGCGGCUUACUGGACUGAAACUGACGCUGAGGCACGAAAGCGUGGGGAGCAAACAGG